AGAGUUUGAUCCUGGCUCAGGAUGAACGCUAGCGGCAGGCUUAACACAUGCAAGUCGAGGGGCAUCGGGAGGGAAGCUUGCUUUCCUUGCCGGCGACCGGCGCACGGGUGAGUAACACGUAUGCAACCUGCCCUCUUCAGGGGGACAACCUUCCGAAAGGGAGGCUAAUCCCGCGUAUAUCGGUUUCGGGCAUCCGAGAUCGAGGAAAGAUUCAUCGGAAGAGGAUGGGCAUGCGGCGCAUUAGCUUGACGGCGGGGUAACGGCCCACCGUGGCGACGAUGCGUAGGGGUUCUGAGAGGAAGGUCCCCCACACUGGUACUGAGACACGGACCAGACUCCUACGGGAGGCAGCAGUGAGGAAUAUUGGUCAAUGGGAGAGAUCCUGAACCAGCCAAGCCGCGUGAGGGAAGACGGCCCUAUGGGUUGUAAACCUCUUUUGUCGGAGAACAAAACCCGGGACGUGUCCCGGACUGCGUGUAUCCGAAGAAAAAGCAUCGGCUAACUCCGUGCCAGCAGCCGCGGUAAUACGGAGGAUGCGAGCGUUAUCCGGAUUUAUUGGGUUUAAAGGGUGCGUAGGCGGUCCGUUAAGUCAGCGGUAAAAUUGCGGGGCUCAACCCCGUCGAGCCGUUGAAACUGGCAGACUUGAGUUGGCGAGAAGUACGCGGAAUGCGCGGUGUAGCGGUGAAAUGCAUAGAUAUCGCGCAGAACUCCGAUUGCGAAGGCAGCGUACCGGCGCCAGACUGACGCUGAGGCACGAAAGCGUGGGGAUCGAACAGGAUUAGAUACCCUGGUAGUCCACGCAGUAAACGAUGAAUGCUGGUUGUCCGGGUCGAAUGAGAUCUGGGCGGCGAAGCGAAAGCGAUAAGCAUUCCACCUGGGGAGUACGCCGGCAACGGUGAAACUCAAAGGAAUUGACGGGGGCCCGCACAAGCGGAGGAACAUGUGGUUUAAUUCGAUGAUACGCGAGGAACCUUACCCGGGCUCAAACGGGAGUGGAAUGGACCAGAGACGGUUCAGCCAACGGGCCGCUUCCGAGGUGCUGCAUGGUUGUCGUCAGCUCGUGCCGUGAGGUGUCGGCUUAAGUGCCAUAACGAGCGCAACCCCCGCCGGCAGUUGCUAACGGGCAAUGCCGAGGACUCUGCCGGGACUGCCGCCGCAAGGCGAGAGGAAGGCGGGGAUGACGUCAAAUCAGCACGGCCCUUACGUCCGGGGCGACACACGUGUUACAAUGGGCGGUACAGCGGGAAGCCUGGCGGCGACGCCGAGCGGAACCCGAAAGCCGUUCUCAGUUCGGAUCGGAGUCUGCAACCCGACUCCGUGAAGCUGGAUUCGCUAGUAAUCGCGCAUCAGCCAUGGCGCGGUGAAUACGUUCCCGGGCCUUGCACACACCGCCCGUCA
This 1398-nucleotide ribosomal RNA is filed under the name uncultured bacterium. RNAcentral describes it as "16S ribosomal RNA". It matches the Rfam family "Bacterial small subunit ribosomal RNA". The record is from RNAcentral.